RNAcentral lists this transfer RNA (82 nucleotides) under Sphingopyxis sp. YR583. RNAcentral describes it as "tRNA_Leu_TAA". It matches the Rfam family "tRNA". From Rfam's summary of the family: Transfer RNA (tRNA) molecules are approximately 80 nucleotides in length. The record is from RNAcentral. Lineage: Bacteria; Pseudomonadati; Pseudomonadota; Alphaproteobacteria; Sphingomonadales; Sphingopyxidaceae.
GCGGACGUGGCGAAACCGGUAGACGCAGCGGACUUAAAAUCCGCCUGAGAAUUCAGUGCGGGUUCGAGCCCCGCCGUCCGCA